AUAACAUACACGCCCAGAUGAUGUCACAAUCAGCUGUAUCUAAACAGAGCAGAGCUCAGGUGACAUCACAGAACAGGCAGAGGCAGUUCAGGGGUAUUCUGGUUGCCUUACCCAGCUCUGAAGUCUGUCAGCCUCUUCAGAUGUCACUUGCCAUGUGGUAAGGAAGUGUAGUCAGCAGCUGGUGCAGUGGGAAGAAGAGAAAGGAAGUUCCCCAAGACAAAAACAUCUCGGCAGACCGUGAUCAUGGGCUACAUUCUCCGUACCAGCUUCAUAGCUCCAGUGAGAAAAUAAAUUCCUGCAUCCAGGAGAUGUGGAGUAAGAGAUACAGCUGCCCUUGACCAUAUUUCUUACUUCCGAGAAGAUCGUAGCAGUAAUUCAGAAUCUCAUCCAGGAUACCUCAUCACAGGCUGGAGUGCAGUGUCAUGAGCUUGGCUCACUACAGCCUCCAUCUUCUGUGCUUAAGGAUCCUUCCCUCUCAACCUCCAAGGUAGCUGAGACUACAGGCAACAUUCGAAACCCAGGUGCCACUCCUUCAGGAAGGUACCAUCAAGCUCCAAGGACUCAUCCUCUUUCUCCUUCCCCACUACCUAGUCAUUAGAGCGUCAGCAUCCACUUCCUGAAAGGAAGAUGCCUGUUUUUCACAUAUCCCAGAAAGCCUCAUUUUAGGACAGCAUUUAGCAGAGUGUAUUCAGGAUCCCACUAACCUUUUCGGAAGACAUGACUUCCAGAUGAUAUAAGGCAAGAAUAAGAAAUUUCAGUGACAGGGAACAGAAAUCAUAUUUCUGCAUUCAGGAUCAUGUUUUCUUGGCUCCAUCAGGAACUGUGCAGGACUGUGCACUCUGUUGAUACUCACAUGGUGGAAUUAUAUUGCCCUUGGCCAACCCUAAAGCCAUCAAGAUAGCAGCAACUACUCUAUCAUUACUGUACCACCACCUGUAUGGAUCUCGUUGCCCAUAUGAAACUGAGUAAGGAACAAUGUGCAUCACACUCACAGAGAAAGAUGGACAAGUUUGGAAUAAUUCACUGUCGAAGUCUUCUUGAGCUGAGCAGUCAUGUGAGCUUGGAAGAUGAUCCCUCUCCAGCUGAUCCUUCAGCUCAGGCCAUCAUCUACAUCUGGAUUCCUGACCCGGAGAAACUAUGAGUAAUGUGUGCUGCUUUUGAGCCACUAAGCUACAUGAAUUAAUGAAGGAUCAUUAUUAAGUUUUUAAUGGGUCAAGAGAAAGUUACCACUGAGGUCUUCUCUACCUGGGCAACAAUUGACUCCUAACAACCACUAUAAGCUUGGAAGAUGAUCCCUCCCCAGCUGAUCCUUCAGGAAUUUCCACUGAAGUACCUCUGGUUGAAAAGGAGAACAGAGACUUUUUUCACAGCCACAGGACAAAAUUUGUUCAGAAUUAAAUGCUGAAAAAGGAGGCUGGAGUGCCGUGGCACAAUUAUGGUUCACCAGCCUCAACCUCCUGGGAUCAAGCAAUCGUCUCACCUCAGCCUCCUGAGUAGCUGGACUGCAGGUACCCACAAGUAGGGUUGACCACAGUAACAAGUAAGCAAGCAAAACAUUUUGUGAAAACCGUGAAGCAUCUUCCUCUGCAGUGACUUAUCAAAAGGGCCCUUUAGCCUAUCUACUGUGGUGUUCUAAAAGGAAGAAAGAGGCUAGUAAAUCCUGGAUACUUUGCUCCUACACCAAUAUUCCCAGCUGUACCUUGAAAUAAAAGGAUUUAGAACUUUAGAACAUUGCUGUUGUUGCUUAUGUCUCUAAUGUUCUCUUGAAUCUUGACAAUCCCCGAACACUGCUCCCCGCUUUAUUUGUUUAGUCCAGUCCCAGUGAAAUAAAUUAGAUGUCAAGGCUCCUCAUUAUGGUUGCCUGGUUUUUGGAACCUGGGGUACUUUGUACUCCUCCAGCAACAGCCAGA
Molecule: long non-coding RNA, 1910 nt
Filed under: Homo sapiens (human)
Lineage: Eukaryota; Metazoa; Chordata; Mammalia; Primates; Hominidae
Description: HSALNT0379875
Source: RNAcentral